CGGGAUAGCUCAGCUGGUAGAGCAGAGGACUGAAAUC
This 37-nucleotide transfer RNA is filed under the name Ampelopsis glandulosa var. brevipedunculata (Amur peppervine). Its description in RNAcentral is "partial tRNA-Phe". RNAcentral also lists the same sequence under 1 other name. The record is from RNAcentral. Lineage: Eukaryota; Viridiplantae; Streptophyta; Magnoliopsida; Vitales; Vitaceae.